GGUUAAUACCCUGAGUAGAUGACGGUACCAGCAUAAGAAGCACCGGCUAACUACGUGCCAGCAGCCGCGGUAAUACGUAGGGUGCGAGCGUUAAUCGGAAUUACUGGGCGUAAAGCGUGCGCAGGCGGUUGUAUAAGUCAGAUGUGAAAUCCCCGGGCUCAACCUGGGAACUGCAUUUGAGACUGUACGGCUAGAGUGUAGCAGAGGGGGGUAGAAUUCCACGUGUAGCAGUGAAAUGCGUAGAGAUGUGGAGGAAUACCGAUGGCGAAGGCAGCCCCCUGGGUUACUACUGACGCUCAUGCACGAAAGCGUGGGGAGCAAACAGGAUUAGAUACCCUGGUAGUCCACGCCCUAAACGAUGUCAACUAGGUGUUGGAAGGGUUAAACCUUUUAGUGCCGUAGCUAACA
RNAcentral lists this ribosomal RNA (408 nucleotides) under Candidatus Accumulibacter phosphatis. Its description in RNAcentral is "bacterial SSU rRNA". It matches the Rfam family "Bacterial small subunit ribosomal RNA", at positions 447 to 857 of the family's 1533-position model. Lineage: Bacteria; Pseudomonadati; Pseudomonadota; Betaproteobacteria. The record is from RNAcentral.